AGAGGAGUCUGCGGCCCAUCAGCUCGUUGGUGGGGUAAUGGCCUACCAAGGCUACGACGGGUAGGGGGUCUGAGAGGAUGUCCCCCCACACUGGAACUGAAACACGGUCCAGACGCCUACGGGUGGCAGCAGGGAGGAAUAUUGGACAAUGGGGGGAAACCCCCGAUCCAGCAACGCCGCGUGAGGGAAGAAGGCCUUCGGGUUGUAAACCUCUUUUAAGGGAGACGAGAAAGGACGGUAUCCCUUGAAUAAGUCACGGCUAACUACGUGCCAGCCGCCGCGGUAA
RNAcentral lists this ribosomal RNA (286 nucleotides) under uncultured Candidatus Thermofonsia sp. RNAcentral's name for it is "partial 16S ribosomal RNA". It matches the Rfam family "Bacterial small subunit ribosomal RNA", at positions 223 to 523 of the family's 1533-position model. The record is from RNAcentral. Lineage: Bacteria; Bacillati; Chloroflexota; Candidatus Thermofontia.